UCGUGGUAUGGGCAUUGGAGACGAUGUCCUUCAGUUAGGCUGGCCCCAGAAACAGGUGCUGCAUGGCUGUCGUCAGCUCGUGUCGUGAGAUGUUGGGUUAAGUCCCGCAACGAGCGCAACCCUCGCCCUUAGUUGCCAGCAUUUAGUUGGGCACUCUAAGGGGACUGCCGGUGAUAAGCCGAGAGGAAGGUGGGGAUGACGUCAAGUCCUCAUGGCCCUUACGGGCUGGGCUACACACGUGCUACAAUGGUGGUGANAGUGGGCAGCGAGACAGCGAUGUCGAGCUAAUCUCCAAAAGCCAUCUCAGUUCGGAUUGCACUCUGCAACUCGAGUGCAUGAAGUUGGAAUCGCUAGUAAUCGCAGAUCANCAUGCUGCGGUGAAUACGUUCCCGGGUCUUGUACACACCG
RNAcentral lists this ribosomal RNA (408 nucleotides) under Agrobacterium tumefaciens. Its description in RNAcentral is "bacterial SSU rRNA". It matches the Rfam family "Bacterial small subunit ribosomal RNA", at positions 988 to 1392 of the family's 1533-position model. Lineage: Bacteria; Pseudomonadati; Pseudomonadota; Alphaproteobacteria; Hyphomicrobiales; Rhizobiaceae. The record is from RNAcentral.